Pogona vitticeps (central bearded dragon) is the source of this 237-nucleotide non-coding RNA. NCBI's taxonomy places the organism in Eukaryota, Metazoa, Chordata, Lepidosauria, Squamata, Agamidae. The record is from RefSeq and is a predicted model, not a curated record.
CCGAGGAGCGCGGAAAGGCUAGAGCUGAAUGGAAACAACAUAACCCGUAUCACCAGAAACGACUUUGCUGGGCUGAAGCAGCUGAGAGUUCUGCAACUGAUGGAAAACCAGAUCAGUGUGGUGGAGCGAGGGGUGUUCGAUGACAUGAAAGAACUGGAGCGACUACGUUUGAAUCGGAACCAGCUGCACAUGUUGCCAGAGCUCCUGUUCCAGAAUAACCAAGCGUUGUCACGGCUG